GUCAGUGGUCAAAGCGAUGCGAUCGGCGAGGCACUCCCAUUGGUCCACCCCGUCACUGACCCGUCACUGUAACACCCUCUGUCAAAUGUAGACACAACGGAGAGAAUUGGAGAAAGAGAAAGGGAUUAGCAUUAAUAAUUGUGAAGGAACUGGGGAUCCCGACUCUCUUCCAAAUUUCUAAUUCAAUUUUUUCCAUCGUGUGUUUUGGGGGAGUUGGUGACAAACCCAUCACACCAUCUAUUCAA
Vitis vinifera (wine grape) is the source of this 245-nucleotide long non-coding RNA. RefSeq lists it as uncharacterized. The transcript has 2 exons. The record is from RefSeq and is a predicted model, not a curated record. Lineage: Eukaryota; Viridiplantae; Streptophyta; Magnoliopsida; Vitales; Vitaceae.